GAAGGCUACAAUAUAUUGCCUUCACAAUAACCUAGAGGUCAUGGAUUCAAAUUACAGGAACAGCCUCCUUCAAAGUACAAGAGGAGGAACCGGAUUCCAGAAGGCUACAUGAUAUCUCUGAUGCAUGUAACAAUGGCACUCAAUCAAGAUGUUUACAUAAGCAUUUGCUCAAUGUAGCUUACCCCAAGUGAUUCCCAUAUCAU
RNAcentral lists this unclassified non-coding RNA (203 nucleotides) under Hevea brasiliensis (rubber tree). The record is from RNAcentral. Lineage: Eukaryota; Viridiplantae; Streptophyta; Magnoliopsida; Malpighiales; Euphorbiaceae.